CACGUAGGGGGCAAGCGUUGUCCGGAUUUAUUGGGCGUAAAGAGCUCGUAGGUGGCUGAGUAAGUCGGAUGUCAAAUCCCCAGGCUCAACCUGGGACACCACCCGAUACUGCUCUGGCUAGAGUCCGGUAGGGGAGCGUGGAAUUCCUGGUGUAGCGGUGAAAUGCGCAGAUAUCAGGAGGAACACCGGUGGCGAAGGCGGGUCUCUGGGCCGAUACUGACGCUGAGGAGCGAAAGCGUGGGGAGCGAACAGG
Molecule: ribosomal RNA, 253 nt
Filed under: uncultured bacterium
Lineage: Bacteria
Description: partial 16S ribosomal RNA
Rfam family: Bacterial small subunit ribosomal RNA
Source: RNAcentral